RNAcentral lists this ribosomal RNA (109 nucleotides) under Caerostris extrusa. Lineage: Eukaryota; Metazoa; Arthropoda; Arachnida; Araneae; Araneidae. The record is from RNAcentral.
ACGGCCAUACCAUGCUGAAUAUACCGGUUCUCGUUCGAUCACCGAAGUCAAGCACCAUCGGGCGCGGUCAGUACUUGGGAAGGUGACCACCUGGGAACACCACCUGACG